UAGAGUUUGAUCCUGGCUCAGAUUGAACGCUGGCGGCAGGCCUAACACAUGCAAGUCGAACGGUAACAGGGAGCAGCUUGCUGCUCUGCUGACGAGUGGCGGACGGGUGAGUAAUGUCUGGGAAACUGCCUGAUGGAGGGGGAUAACUACUGGAAACGGUAGCUAAUACCGCAUAANGUCUACGGACCANAGUGGGGGACCUUCGGGCCUCAUGCCAUCAGAUGUGCCCNGAUGGGAUUAGCUNGUAGGUGGGGUAACGGCUCACCUAGGCGACGAUCCCUAGCUGGUCUGAGAGGAUGNCCAGCCACACUGGAACUGAGACACGGUCCAGACUCCUUACGGGACGCAGCA
RNAcentral lists this ribosomal RNA (351 nucleotides) under uncultured bacterium. RNAcentral describes it as "bacterial SSU rRNA". It matches the Rfam family "Bacterial small subunit ribosomal RNA", at positions 1 to 353 of the family's 1533-position model. The record is from RNAcentral.